This 488-nucleotide ribosomal RNA is filed under the name uncultured bacterium. RNAcentral's name for it is "bacterial SSU rRNA". It matches the Rfam family "Bacterial small subunit ribosomal RNA", at positions 28 to 515 of the family's 1533-position model. The record is from RNAcentral.
GAUUAACGCUGGCGGCAUGCCUAAUACAUGCAAGUCGAACGGAAGCAGCAAUGCUUUAGUGGCGAACGGGUGAGUAACACGUAGGGAACCUACCUAUACGACGAGGAUAACUACUGGAAACGGUAGCUAAAACUGGAUAGGAUCAAUUGAGGCAUCUUGAUUGAUUUAAAGAUCCUUCGGGAUUACGUAGAGAUGGCCCUGCGGCGCAUUAGCUAGUUGGUGAGUAACGGCCACCAAGGCGACGAUGCGUAGCUGAGCUGAGAGGCUAAACAGCCACACUGGGACUGAGACACGGCCCAGACUCCUACGGGAGGCAGCAGUAGGGAAUUUUCGGCAAUGGGGGAAACCCUGACCGAGCAAUGCCGCGUGAACGAUGAAGGUCUUCGGAUUGUAAAGUUCUGUGAUUGGGGAAGAAUGGUAUUCUUAGGGAAUGAGGAGUACAUGACGGUACCCGAUUAGAAAGCCCCGGCUAACUAUGUGCCAGCAGC